Molecule: transfer RNA, 73 nt
Filed under: Gammaproteobacteria bacterium RIFCSPHIGHO2_12_FULL_36_30
Lineage: Bacteria; Pseudomonadati; Pseudomonadota; Gammaproteobacteria
Also listed under: 5 other names
Description: tRNA-Val
Rfam family: tRNA
About the family: Transfer RNA (tRNA) molecules are approximately 80 nucleotides in length. Their secondary structure includes four short double-helical elements and three loops (D, anti-codon, and T loops).
Source: RNAcentral
AGGCACGUAGCUCAGUUGGUAGAGUACCACCUCGACAAGGUGGGUGUCGCUGGUUCGAGCCCAGUCGUGCCUA